GCAGUAGCCGCGGUAAUACGUAGGGUGCAAGCGUUAAUCGGAAUUACUGGGCGUAAAGCGUGCGCAGGCGGUUAUAUAAGACAGAUGUGAAAUCCCCGGGCUCAACCUGGGAACUGCAUUUGUGACUGUAUAGCUAGAGUACGGCAGAGGGGGAUGGAAUUCCGCGUGUAGCAGUGAAAUGCGUAGAUAUGCGGAGGAACACCGAUGGCGAAGGCAAUCCCCUGGGCCUGUACUGACGCUCAUGCACGAAAGCGUGGGGAGCAAACAGGAUUAGAUACCCGCGUAGUCCCUGUCUCUUAUAC
Molecule: ribosomal RNA, 302 nt
Filed under: uncultured bacterium
Lineage: Bacteria
Description: partial 16S ribosomal RNA
Rfam family: Bacterial small subunit ribosomal RNA
Source: RNAcentral